CACAAGUUGAAUUCUUUUCGACGUUGAUCGUCGGCACUGCUGGUUAAUGCGGUUGUCAAAAUUCUUACGUUUUAUCAUUAGUUAUUAUUUAAGUUACCGCAUUUGUGUUCAGUUAACAAACUAAAAAAUUCCUUUCUAGGUAGCAUGACUAGAUGAUCCCAGUUUGCAUUUCGACAGAUCGCAUAGUGUUGGCUUAGGAAGUCAAAGUAACUUAAAUUUUAAGAUUGUGCUGGGCAUAUUCACUCAAAAUUAAUUACGCUUGGCUUUUAAAAUCUACACUUGACAAGUUAUUUUGCAAACAUGUGGUCAUGGCAAGGUGGCUACUGUGUUUUAGGUGAUACGGUAGUCGAGAUUGAAUUGUGAAAUCCAGUUAUUGUAGGUGGAAUUAAGAUAUCUAGGCAUUUAACGGAGUUUUCUGAUGGUUUGUUCUGCUGUCCAUGAGGCUGCACUGUACAAUGGAAUUCUAGUGGUACUACUUGUUGCCAAAGCAGUUUGGGCUACCCUAUCUGUACUUUGUGAUUGUGGCAUGAUGGAAUUCAAAUAUGAAUUUGACCAGUGCUUGGUGGUGAUGCAGCUUGAUGACGUGCUACUCCACAUGGAAAGUACCAUUAAAUAUUUAAAAACAAAAUUUAUGUACGUUAACAAAAUACUUUGAAAAAGAACAAGUUUGCAGAAGUUGUGCUUGUGAGUGAAAGUUCUUCUUUUCACUGUGGUUAUUUGGUGGUGGUAAGAAUGCUGGCAGGGAAGUUUUCAUUGUUUCCGUAAGCCUAUGUUAAUUCUCGAUUCUUUUCAGAGUUAGCCUGUUGCUUCAUGGACCAUUUUUCUUGACUGUUAUAUUAGUUUGCUACUGUAGUUCACUCUUUGCUUGAUUGUUUUUUUAGUUUCUGUUAAUAAUAGACUGGUUUCCCAAUC
RNAcentral lists this long non-coding RNA (912 nucleotides) under Daphnia magna. RNAcentral describes it as "uncharacterized LOC123468023, transcript variant X2". The record is from RNAcentral. Lineage: Eukaryota; Metazoa; Arthropoda; Branchiopoda; Diplostraca; Daphniidae.